This 496-nucleotide ribosomal RNA is filed under the name uncultured bacterium. Its description in RNAcentral is "partial 16S ribosomal RNA". It matches the Rfam family "Bacterial small subunit ribosomal RNA", at positions 29 to 507 of the family's 1533-position model. The record is from RNAcentral.
AUGAACGCUGGCGGCGUGCCUAAUACAUGCAAGUCGAGCGAACAGACGAGGAGCUUGCUCCUCUGACGUUAGCGGCGGACGGGUGAGUAACACGUGGAUAACCUACCUAUAAGACUGUGAUAACUUCGGGAAACCGGAGCUAAUACCGGAUAAUAUAUUGAACCGCAUGGUUCAAUAGUGAAAGACGGUUUUGCUGUCACUUAUAGAUGGAUCCGCGCCGCAUUAGCUAGUUGGUAAGGUAACGGCUUACCAAGGCAACGAUGCGUAGCCGACCUGAGAGGGUGAUCGGCCACACUGGAACUGAGACACGGUCCAGACUCCUACGGGAGGCAGCAGUAGGGAAUCUUCCGCAAUGGGCGAAAGCCUGACGGAGCAACGCCGCGUGAGUGAUGAAGGUCUUCGGAUCGUAAAACUCUGUUAUUAGGGAAGAACAAAUGUGUAAGUAACUAUGCACGUCUUGACGGUACCUAAUCAGAAAGCCACGGCUAACUACGUG